RNAcentral lists this ribosomal RNA (460 nucleotides) under uncultured bacterium. RNAcentral's name for it is "partial 16S ribosomal RNA". It matches the Rfam family "Bacterial small subunit ribosomal RNA", at positions 338 to 795 of the family's 1533-position model. The record is from RNAcentral.
CCUACGGGUGGCAGCAGUGAGGAAUAUUGGUCAAUGGACGAGAGUCUGAACCAGCCAAGUAGCGUGAAGGAUGACUGCCCUAUGGGUUGUAAACUUCUUUUAUAUGGGAAUAAAACGUUCCACGUGUGGGAUUUUGUAUGUACCAUAUGAAUAAGGCUCGGCUAACUCCGUGCCAGCAGCCGCGGUAAUACGGAGGCUCCGAGCGUUAUCCGGAUUUAUUGGGUUUAAAGGGAGCGUAGGUGGAUUGUUAAGUCAGUUGUGAAAGUUUGCGGCGCAACCGUAAAAUUGCAGUUGAAACUGGCAGUCUUGAGUACAGUAGAGGUGGGCGGAAUUCGUGGUGUAGCGGUGAAAUGCUUAGAUAUCACGAAGAACUCCGAUUGCGAAGGCAGUUCACUGGACUGCAACUGACACUGAGGCUCGAAAGUGUGGGUAUCAAACAGGAUUAGAUACCCUAGUAGUC